CUGGGAGGACCAUCUCCUAAGGCUAAAUACUCUCUAGUGACCGAUAGUGAACCAGUACCGUGAGGGAAAGGUGAAAAGCACCCCGGAAGGGGAGUGAAAUAGAACCUGAAACCGUGUGCUUACAAGUAGUCAGAGCCCGUUAAUGGGUGAUGGCGUGCCUUUUGUAGAAUGAACCGGCGAGUUACGAUUUGAUGCAAGGUUAAGCAGUAAAUGUGGAGCCGUAGCGAAAGCGAGUCUGAAUAGGGCGUUUAGUAUUUGGUCGUAGACCCGAAACCAGGUGAUCUACCCUUGGUCAGGUUGAAGUUCAGGUAACACUGAAUGGAGGACCGAACCGACUUACGUUGAAAAGUGAGCGGAUGAACUGAGGGUAGCGGAGAAAUUCCAAUCGAACCUGGAGAUAGCUGGUUCUCUCCGAAAUAGCUUUAGGGCUAGCCUCAAGU
RNAcentral lists this ribosomal RNA (440 nucleotides) under Staphylococcus aureus. RNAcentral's name for it is "partial 23S ribosomal RNA". It matches the Rfam family "Bacterial large subunit ribosomal RNA", at positions 444 to 887 of the family's 2925-position model. Lineage: Bacteria; Bacillati; Bacillota; Bacilli; Caryophanales; Staphylococcaceae. The record is from RNAcentral.